This 253-nucleotide ribosomal RNA is filed under the name uncultured bacterium. Its description in RNAcentral is "partial 16S ribosomal RNA". It matches the Rfam family "Bacterial small subunit ribosomal RNA", at positions 524 to 776 of the family's 1533-position model. The record is from RNAcentral.
UACGUAGGGGGCAAGCGUUGUCCGGAUUCAUUGGGCGUAAAGAGCGUGUAGGCGGCCUGGAAGGUCAGCUGUGAAAACUCGAGGCUCAACCUCGAGACGUCGGUUGAAACCACCUGGCUAGAGUCCGGAAGAGGAGUGUGGAAUUCCCGGUGUAGCGGUGGAAUGCGUAGAUAUCAGGAGGAACAUCGAUGGCGAAGGCAGCCCCUUGGACCUGUACUGACGCUCAUGCACGAAAGCGUGGGGAGCAAACAGG